UCCAGCCUUAAGCAUUCCAAACCUGGAA
RNAcentral lists this non-coding RNA (28 nucleotides) under Rattus norvegicus (Norway rat). The record is from RNAcentral. Lineage: Eukaryota; Metazoa; Chordata; Mammalia; Rodentia; Muridae.